UACCAAUUCCGGUUGAUCCUGUCGGAGGAUACUGCUAUUGGGAUUCGAUUAAGCCAUGCGAGUCUCUGAUUUCGGUCAGGGCGAACUGCUGAGUAACAUGUAGUUAAUCUGCCCUUAGGUCAGGGAUAAUCUCGGGAAACUGAGGGUAAAACCUGAUAAGAAAUCACAUCUGGAAGGAGUGGUUUCUGAAAGCUUCGGUGCCUAAGGAUGAGACUGCAGUGGAUUAAUUUGAUGUCGGGGUAAAAGCCCAACAUGCCUGUAAUCCAUAGGGGCCGUGAGAGCGGUAGCCCCCAGAUGGGUUCUGAGACACGAACCCAGACCCUACGGGGUGCAGCAGGCGCGAAACCUCUACAAUGCACGAAAG
RNAcentral lists this ribosomal RNA (364 nucleotides) under Candidatus Omnitrophota bacterium. Its description in RNAcentral is "bacterial SSU rRNA". It matches the Rfam family "Archaeal small subunit ribosomal RNA", at positions 1 to 365 of the family's 1478-position model. Lineage: Bacteria; Pseudomonadati; Candidatus Omnitrophota. The record is from RNAcentral.